RNAcentral lists this ribosomal RNA (245 nucleotides) under uncultured bacterium. RNAcentral's name for it is "partial 16S ribosomal RNA". It matches the Rfam family "Bacterial small subunit ribosomal RNA", at positions 524 to 767 of the family's 1533-position model. The record is from RNAcentral.
UACGAAGGGGGCUAGCGUUGCUCGGAAUUACUGGGCGUAAAGCGCACGUAGGCGGUCUUUUAAGUCGGGGGUGAAAUCCUGGAGCUCAACUCCAGAACUGCCUUCGAUACUGGAAGACUUGAGUCCGGGAGAGGUGAGUGGAACUGCGAAGUGUAGAGGUGAAAUUCGUAGAUAUUCGCAAGAACACCAGUGGCGAAGGCGGCUCACUGGCCCGGUACUGACGCUGAGGUGCGAAAGCGGUGGGG